CAGUCGCCGCGGUAAUACGAAGGGUGCAAGCGUUAAUCGGAAUUACUGGGCGUAAAGCGUGCGUAGGCGGUGAGUUAAGUCUGCUGUGAAAUCCCCGGGCUCAACCUGGGAAUGGCAGUGGAUACUGGCUCGCUAGAGUGUGUCAGAGGAUGGUGGAAUUCCCGGUGUAGCGGUGAAAUGCGUAGAGAUCGGGAGGAACAUCAGCGGCGAAGGCGGCCAUCUGGGACAACGCUGACGCUGAGGCACGAAAGCGUGGGGAGCAAACAGGAUUAGAUACCCCCGUAGUCCCUGUCUCUUAUAC
Molecule: ribosomal RNA, 301 nt
Filed under: uncultured bacterium
Lineage: Bacteria
Description: partial 16S ribosomal RNA
Rfam family: Bacterial small subunit ribosomal RNA
Source: RNAcentral